AUGCGAUGAGUCGAUAUGUGGUUUUACCACUAUUGCGCAGGGAGAUUAUAAACGCAGGAGCGGAUCUUGAUAAGUUGUGUGAACCUUCUUAUCACACUUGAAAAGGUGCCCUUAGCUUACUACUACUUGUAAUUUCU
Streptococcus agalactiae 515 is the source of this 137-nucleotide non-coding RNA. The record is from Rfam. Lineage: Bacteria; Bacillati; Bacillota; Bacilli; Lactobacillales; Streptococcaceae.